This is a long non-coding RNA of Nothoprocta perdicaria, 576 nucleotides long. RefSeq lists it as uncharacterized. The record is from RefSeq and is a predicted model, not a curated record. NCBI's taxonomy places the organism in Eukaryota, Metazoa, Chordata, Aves, Tinamiformes, Tinamidae. The transcript has 3 exons.
GUGGAAUUCUCCAUGUUUGAGGCCCUACCUUUGUGCUUGGGGCAGUGGAGACCUCUGAGUGCAGGUGAUGGAGACUGCAUCUGGUAGGGGAUAUUCAGCUUGUUAAAGACCUUCUUCCAAGGAAACUCAUGUUGCAUAAAGUGAGCAGAGGAAGCUGCCAACCUAGCCAGUCUAAUCAGGCCGACACUGACCCUCAUUUUCCUUCACUGACUUCCUGGGAUCUCGCCAAGAGUGAUCCUGCACCUCCCUGCUGCCGUUUGUGGCUGUAGGUGGCAAUGGCACCAGGCUGGACUUCUGCAGCCCCUCAGCAGAGGCAGCCUCCUGCUCCAGGCGAUCAGGAGCAAGAGAAGGGACCUUGCACGACUCAGUCAUGCAGCCUUAAGUAACAACCUGUUUAUCUGUGCUCUCUGAUAGUGUGUUAUUUUGUAAAGUAGUGUUUUCUCUCAGAAUAGCCCAGAAACAUCUGAUAGUCUGCAAAAAACUGCAGAUUAUGAACUCUGUGGAGCUAUUCUAAGGUAAGAUCUGUACUGUGUAACUGCAGAAAAAGAUUACUGAAUGUAUCCAGAAAUAAUACCU